This 1999-nucleotide ribosomal RNA is filed under the name human gut metagenome. RNAcentral describes it as "bacterial LSU rRNA". It matches the Rfam family "Bacterial large subunit ribosomal RNA", at positions 850 to 2856 of the family's 2925-position model. The record is from RNAcentral.
UGGUUCUCCCCGAAAUAGCUUUAGGGCUAGCGUCGAGAGAGAGUCAUGUGAAGGUAGAGCACUGAAUAUGUGAUGGCCCCAUCCCGGGGUACUGAAUAUAAUCAAACUCCGAAUGUCACAGAGACAUGCUCGGCAGUCAGACAGCGGGUGAUAAGGUCCACUGUCAAGAGGGAAACAGCCCAGACCAUCAGCUAAGGUCCCAAAAUAUAUACUAAGUGGAAAAGGAUGUGGAGAUGUCCAGACAACUAGGAGGUUGGCUCAGAAGCAGCCAUCCUUUAAAGAGUGCGUAACAGCUCACUAGUCGAAUGACUCUGCGCCGAUAAUUUACCGGGGCUAAGUAUAUUACCGAAGCUAUGGAUUUGCGAUGAGCAAGUGGUAGGGGAGCGUUCUAUGAGCGAAGAAGCAGUACCGGAAGGAGCUGUGGAGCAUAUAGAAGAGAGAAUGCCGGUGUGAGUAGCGGAACGUGGGUGAGAAUCCCACGCACCGAAAACCCAAGGUUUCCAGAGGAAGGUUCGUCCGCUCUGGGUAAGUCGGGACCUAAGGCGAGGCCGAGAGGCGUAGUCGAUGGACAACAGGUAGAGAUUCCUGUACUUACGGUAUGAAUGAAGGAGUGACGGAGAAGGCUAGGUGAUCCUGCGGCUGGAAGAGCAGGUGCAAGCGAGGUAGCAGAUAUCCAGGCAAAUCCGGAUAUCGGGAAAGCGAAGGCGUGAAGCGGAUGGAAAGCCAAGGCAAGUACAGAAGUCAUUGAAGCCAGCUUCCAAGAAAAGCUUCUAGUGAUAAUCAUACAGUAACCCGUACCGAAAAUGGACACACAUGGGUGAGGAGAGAAUCCUAAGGUGAGCGAGAGAACUAUAGCUAAGGAACUCUGCAAAAUGACUCCGUAACUUAGGGAUAAGGAGUGCUCAUAGAGAUAUGAGCCGCAGUGAAACGGCCCAAGCGACUGUUUACCAAAAACACAGCUCUAUGCUAAGUCGAAAGACGACGUAUAUGGGGUGACGCCUGCCCGGUGCUGGAAGGUUAAGAGGAUGUGUCAGCGCAAGCGAAGCACUGAAUUGAAGCCCCAGUAAACGGCGGCCGUAACUAUAACGGUCCUAAGGUAGCGAAAUUCCUUGUCAGGUAAGUUCUGACCCGCACGAAAGGCGUAACGAUUUGGGCGCUGUCUCAGCUGUAGACUCGGUGAAGUCUUAGUACCUGUGAAGAUGCAGGUUACCCGCGACUAGACGGAAAGACCCCAUGGAGCUUUACUGUAGCUUGAUAUUGGACUUUGAUGCAGGAUGUACAGGAUAGGUAGGAGACUGAGAGACAUGCACGCCAGUGUGUGAGGAGUCAAUGUUGGGAUACUACUCUUCUUGUAUUGGAGUUCUAACCGGAUGCCAUGGAACUGGCAACGGGACAGUGUCAGGUGGGCAGUUUGACUGGGGCGGUCGCCUCCCAAAGAGUAACGGAGGCGCCCAAAGAUACCCUCAGCUUGGAUGGAAAUCAAGCGCAGAGUGCAAAGGCAUAAGGGUGUUUGACUGCGAGACCUACAAGUCGAGCAGGGACGAAAGUCGGGCUUAGUGAUCCGGCGGUGCUGAAUGGAAAGGCCGUCGCUCAACGGAUAAAAGCUACCCUGGGGAUAACAGGCUGAUCUCCCCCAAGAGUUCACAUCGACGGGGAGGUUUGGCACCUCGAUGUCGGCUCAUCGCAUCCUGGAGCUGAAGUCGGUUCCAAGGGUUGGGCUGUUCGCCCAUUAAAGCGGUACGCGAGCUGGGUUCAGAACGUCGUGAGACAGUUCGGUCCCUAUCUGUCGUGGGCGUAGGAAGUUUGAGAAGAUCUGUCCUCAGUACGAGAGGACCGGGAUGGACAUAUCAAUGGUGCACCAGUUGUCACGCCAGUGGCACAGCUGGGUAGCUAAAUAUGGAAGGGAUAAACGCUGAAGGCAUCUAAGUGUGAAACCCACUUCAAGAUGAGACUUCCCAUUACGCAAGUAAGUAAGACCCCUUAAAGACGAUAAGGUUGA